AGUCUUCACCUAGGUGGACGGGCCACCUUUACUUAACCUGGAUAAGGAACACAUGUUUUUUCACUUACCCCUGAGGCGGGGGGAUGAGCCCCAAGCGGGGCUCUCGCUUCUGGCGCCAAGCGCCCGGUGCAACCUGCUCUGGGGACAACGGCAGGUGGGGAUUUUGACCGGGGCGGUACACCUGUCAAAGUGUAAUGCAGGUGUCCUGAGGCGAGCUCAGGGAGGACGGAAACCUCCCGCAGAGCUAAAGGGCAAAAGCUCGCUUGAUCUUGAUUUUCAGUACAAAUACAGACCGUGAAAGUGGGGCCUCACGAUCCUUCUGGCUUUUUGGCUGUUAAGCAGGAGGU
This 347-nucleotide non-coding RNA is filed under the name Nipponia nippon (crested ibis). RNAcentral's name for it is "Eukaryotic large subunit ribosomal RNA". It matches the Rfam family "Eukaryotic large subunit ribosomal RNA", at positions 2447 to 2804 of the family's 3401-position model. Lineage: Eukaryota; Metazoa; Chordata; Aves; Pelecaniformes; Threskiornithidae. The record is from Rfam by way of RNAcentral.